GCGUUGUUCGGAUUUACUGGGCGUAAAGGGCGCGUAGGCGGCGUGACAAGUCACUUGUGAAAUCUCUGGGCUCAACUCAGAACGGUCAAGUGAUACUGUCGUGCUAGAGUGCGGAAGGGGCAACUGGAAUUCUCGGUGUAGCGGUGAAAUGCGUAGAUAUCGAGAGGAACACCUGCGGCGAAGGCGGGUUGCUGGGCCGACACUGACGCUGAGGCGCGAAAGCUAG
This 226-nucleotide ribosomal RNA is filed under the name uncultured bacterium. RNAcentral's name for it is "partial 16S ribosomal RNA". It matches the Rfam family "Bacterial small subunit ribosomal RNA", at positions 538 to 763 of the family's 1533-position model. The record is from RNAcentral.